RNAcentral lists this ribosomal RNA (207 nucleotides) under uncultured bacterium. RNAcentral's name for it is "partial 16S ribosomal RNA". It matches the Rfam family "Bacterial small subunit ribosomal RNA", at positions 568 to 774 of the family's 1533-position model. The record is from RNAcentral.
CAUGUAGGCGGAUAUGGAAGUCAGAUGUGAAAGCCCUUGGCUCAACCAAGGAAGUGCAUCUGAAACCACAUAUCUUGAGUAUGACAGAGGGAAGUGGAAUUCCCAGUGUAGAGGUGAAAUUCAUAGAUAUUGGGAAGAACACCGGUGGCGAAGGCGGCUUUCUGGGUCAUUACUGACGCUGAGAUGCGAAAGCGUGGGGAGCAAACA